CCCUUAGAAGUUCUGGGCCGCACGCGCGCUACACUGACGAAUGCAACGAGCUUAUAACCUUGGCCGAAAGGUCUGGGUAAUCUCCAAAUUUCGUCGUGAUGGGGAUAGAUUAUUGCAAUUAUUAAUCUUCAACGAGGAAUGCCUAGUAAGCGCAAGUCAUCAGCUUGCGUUGAUUACGUCCCUGCCCUUUGUACACACCGCCCGUCGCUCCUACCGAUUGAAUGGUCCGGUGAAGCGUUCGGACCGUGGCCUUUGGACGGUUCGCCGUCUGUUGGCUGCGGGAAGUUCGUUAAACCUUAUCAUUUAGAGGAAGGAGAAGUCGUAACA
Molecule: ribosomal RNA, 327 nt
Filed under: uncultured eukaryote
Lineage: Eukaryota
Description: partial 18S ribosomal RNA
Rfam family: Eukaryotic small subunit ribosomal RNA
Source: RNAcentral